RNAcentral lists this ribosomal RNA (492 nucleotides) under uncultured bacterium. RNAcentral's name for it is "partial 16S ribosomal RNA". It matches the Rfam family "Bacterial small subunit ribosomal RNA", at positions 29 to 507 of the family's 1533-position model. The record is from RNAcentral.
AGUGAACGCUGGCGGUAGGCCUAACACAUGCAAGUCGAACGGCAGCACAGUAAGAGCUUGCUCUUACGGGUGGCGAGUGGCGGACGGGUGAGGAAUACAUCGGAAUCUACUUUUUCGUGGGGGAUAACGUAGGGAGACUUACGCUAAUACCGCAUACGACCUACGGGUGAAAGCAGGGGAUCUUCGGACCUUGCGCGAUUGAAUGAGCCGAUGUCGGAUUAGCUAGUUGGCGGGGUAAAGGCCCACCAAGGCGACGAUCCGUAGCUGGUCUGAGAGGAUGAUCAGCCACACUGGAACUGAGACACGGUCCAGACUCCUACGGGAGGCAGCAGUGGGGAAUAUUGGACAAUGGGCGCAAGCCUGAUCCAGCCACACCGCGUGGGUGAAGAAGGCCUUCGGGUUGUAAAGCCCUUUUGUUGGGAAAGAAAAGCAGCAGGUUAAUACCCCGCUGUUCUGACGGUACCCAAAGAAUAAGCACCGGCUAACUUCGUG